This 202-nucleotide long non-coding RNA is filed under the name Gossypium raimondii (Peruvian cotton). Its description in RNAcentral is "long non-coding RNA (GRAI_LNC005976)". The record is from RNAcentral. Lineage: Eukaryota; Viridiplantae; Streptophyta; Magnoliopsida; Malvales; Malvaceae.
UUUUUUUUUUUUUGACCAAUUUAUUGGGAUUUUUAGUUUUUUAUUUUAUUUUUUAAUUCAAUUUGGCUAAGAUAAAUGUUAAAAACAUGUAAGAGUUUCUUAAUUUACUUUAAAGCUCUCCAAGGGUUGAGCAGUUUGAUUCGAGUUAAGUUUAGACAAUUAAUUUUUUAUAUUUGAUUCGAUCUGAUUAAUUUAAUUUGAA